UCUACGUCGGCGACCGGCGCACGGGUGCGUAACGCGUAUGCAACCUACCCAUUACAGGGGGAUAACACUGAGAAAUCGGUACUAAUACCCCAUAACAUCCAGGGAGGCAUCUUCUUGGGUUGAAAACUCCGGUGGUAAUGGAUGGGCAUGCGUUGUAUUAGUUAGUUGGUGGGGUAACGGCUCACCAAGACAACGAUACAUAGGGGGACUGAGAGGUUAACCCCCCACAUUGGUACUGAGACACGGACCAAACUCCUACGGAAGGCAGCAG
RNAcentral lists this ribosomal RNA (271 nucleotides) under uncultured bacterium. RNAcentral's name for it is "partial 16S ribosomal RNA". It matches the Rfam family "Bacterial small subunit ribosomal RNA", at positions 82 to 354 of the family's 1533-position model. The record is from RNAcentral.